CUACGGGUGGCUGCAGUGAGGAAUAUUGCACAAUGGGGGGAACCCUGAUGCAGCAACGCCGCGUGGAGGAUGACGCAUUUCGGUGUGUAAACUCCUUUUAUAUGCCAAGAAAAUGACGGUAGCAUAUGAAUAAGCACCGGCUAACUCCGUGCCAGCAGCCGCGGUAAUACGGAGGGUGCAAGCGUUACUCGGAAUCACUGGGCGUAAAGGACGCGUAGGCGGGUUGGAAAGUCAGGUGUGAAAUCCUACAGCUUAACUGUAGAACUGCACUUGAAACUUCUAAUCUAGAGUAUGGGAGGGGGAGAUGGAAUUAGUGGUGUGGGGGUAAAAUCCGUAGAUAUCACUAGGAAUACCUAAAGCGAAGGCGAUCUCCUGGAACAUUACUGACGCUAAGGCGUGAAAGCGUGGGGAGCAAACAGGAUUAGAUACCCCGGUAGUC
Molecule: ribosomal RNA, 439 nt
Filed under: uncultured bacterium
Lineage: Bacteria
Description: partial 16S ribosomal RNA
Rfam family: Bacterial small subunit ribosomal RNA
Source: RNAcentral